This is a long non-coding RNA of Daphnia pulex (common water flea), 977 nucleotides long. RefSeq lists it as uncharacterized. Lineage: Eukaryota; Metazoa; Arthropoda; Branchiopoda; Diplostraca; Daphniidae. The record is from RefSeq and is a predicted model, not a curated record. The transcript is spliced from 7 exons.
AGGAAUGUAGGGGGAGGGGGGUUCUAUUUAAGGAGAGUUGAGAUGACUGUCGCAUCCUUUCUGUUCGGGUUGCUGUUCGAGAACGUACAUGCAACAUAGCCUACAUGUACAAUUGAUGAUUGGCAAUUCCAUCUGAUCAUGUGGCCUGCUGUACAUUUCCAAAGUGUCGUCUUUUGCUGCAUGUUGUAUGUCGUGAAAUCUUAGCUUCUUCAUUGCAGCACGUGCACGUGAUCGUUUCCGUGAAGAGUUUAGUGUACAUUUCUGUAGCAGAUGUUGCUGUCCAAUUUGGCAUGUGUCAGACUGUUGGUGAAAGAUAAUUUUGCAUCAGGUUGAUGAUGUCUGAGCAGCAUUGCUUGCAUGCAGAUGGUUUCGUUGCAGCCAGCUGGUGAAAUGGUACUGCGAGUUGAACCUGCAGCUGCAGCAAUUAGGGCUUGCUUCAUCCUGAAGUCUGAAAAUGCUUCAUGAAGUGUAACCACAGUAGACAUCUUCAAUUGGUUGAUGGUGUCUGAUCUGCAUUGCUCGCAAGCAGAUGGUUUUGUUGCAGCCAGUUGGUGAAAGGUUAGCUCGAGUAGACCUGAAACUGCUGCGAGUAGGACUUGUGUCACCCUGAAGUGUGAAAAUGUUGCAUGAAGUGGAACUGCAGUUGAAGACAUCUUGAAUUGGCAACAUAGCCUACAAGUACAACCCAAUUCCAUCUGAUCAUGUGGCCUGCUGUACAUUUACAAAGUGUCGUCUCUUGCUGCACGUUGUACGUCGUGAAGCUUCUUGGGUCAAAAAAACUUUUUCGUUCUGUUAAAUUCUAUGUUUACGUGUAAAACUGUCAAUGCGGUGGUGUAGAGGUUGGGUGAGAAAGACCCAUCCCUAGCAACGCCAACCUAAAGAAGGAAAGGCCAGUUUGCAUUUCCUUCGCGCUUGAAGGUCAUGGAGAUCAUUAUGUAAAACGUAUAAUGCGACAGCGGAGAGGUUGGGUGAGAAAG